CCCCAAUCAAGCAAGAUUACCCGCUGAACUUAAGCAUAUCAAUAAGCGGAGGAAAAGAAACCAACAGGGAUUGCCCUAGUAACGGCGAGUGAACAGGCAAGAGCUCAGAUUUGAAAGCCUUUUUGGCAUUGUAUUCUGAAGUAUUUAUCCUGAGUAAUGAUGUCUAAGUCUUCUGGAAAGGAGCGCCAUGGAGGGUGAUAGCCCCGUGUGACAUCCCACUCAUUGUAGGAUUUAUACGUGGAGUCGAGUUGUUUGGGAAUGCAGCUCAAACGGGUGGUAUGCUCCAUCUAAAGCUAAAUAUCUGUGAGAGACCGAUAGCGAACAAGUACUGUGAAGGAAAGAUGAAAAGAACUUUGAAAAGAGAGUGAAAAAGUACGUGAAAUUGUUGAAAUGGAAGGGUAGGCCGCUAACCAUGUAGAACCGUGUUUGGGGGGAAGAUAAAAGCUGAAGAAUGUGGCUCCUCGGAGUGUUAUAGCUUCAGUCAAUAUUCCCAUCCGAGCGCG
This 503-nucleotide ribosomal RNA is filed under the name Starmerella meliponinorum. RNAcentral's name for it is "partial large subunit ribosomal RNA". It matches the Rfam family "Eukaryotic large subunit ribosomal RNA", at positions 1 to 524 of the family's 3401-position model. Lineage: Eukaryota; Fungi; Ascomycota; Dipodascomycetes; Dipodascales; Trichomonascaceae. The record is from RNAcentral.